ACCCUAGUGGCACAAUUGGUUAGCGCGUGGUGCUUAUAAUGCCGAGGCUGUGAGUUCGAGCCUCACCUAGGAAA
Non-coding RNA from Trichonephila clavata, 74 nucleotides. Lineage: Eukaryota; Metazoa; Arthropoda; Arachnida; Araneae; Nephilidae. The record is from the annotation of a GenBank genome assembly.